CUGGAGAUGGCUAGCAUCCAGUCCCCCAGUGCAGAAGAAAGAAGCUCAGUUUCCCAAAUGGGCAAGGACCGCUACUGGUAGACAGAUAGGGAAUAGAUGGGUUGGAAGAAAGGAGAAGAGCAGAACAGAGUCAAGUGUCAGCGUUUGAGCUAUUCCAGGGUGAACCCAGCAAUCUCAGGUUUGGUCUUUUGAAGCAAACCAAGAUCCCCAGGAAACUGUGGCAUGUUCACGUACUUGCCAUUGAACACAGAGUUGUUGAUCCAACGCCACCUUUUCUCUUCACGAUGGUAAAUUAAGCCAAUAAAAUACUUCUCAGCAUCAGUUAUGUCCUGAAGAAACUUCUGGAAAUAAAAAAAAAAUUUUA
This is a long non-coding RNA of Homo sapiens (human), 364 nucleotides long. RefSeq lists it as uncharacterized. NCBI's taxonomy places the organism in Eukaryota, Metazoa, Chordata, Mammalia, Primates, Hominidae. The transcript is spliced from 2 exons. The record is from RefSeq and is a predicted model, not a curated record.